RNAcentral lists this ribosomal RNA (252 nucleotides) under uncultured bacterium. RNAcentral's name for it is "partial 16S ribosomal RNA". It matches the Rfam family "Bacterial small subunit ribosomal RNA", at positions 524 to 776 of the family's 1533-position model. The record is from RNAcentral.
UACGUAGGGGGCGAGCGUUAUCCGGAAUUAUUGGGCGUAAAGAGUGCGUAGGCGGUUUUUUAAGCGCGGGGUGAAAGGCAAUGGCUUAACCAUUGUUAGCCCUGCGAACUGGGAGACUUGAGUGCAGGAGAGGAAAGCGGAAUUCCUAGUGUAGCGGUGAAAUGCGUAGAUAUUAGGAGGAACACCAGUGGCGAAGGCGGCUUUCUGGACUGUAACUGACGCUGAGGCACGAAAGUGUGGGGAGCAAACAGG